AAUUAUCUAUUAAAAUUUAGAUUAAAAAUUUAUAAUUUAUUACCAUUAUUUUAUUAUUUUAUUUUAUGUAAAAAUAAAUAUUACUAGGUUACCAGUUGAUUUUUACGAUUCGUUUAGAAUCACCUUUUUCACGUAAAAAUGGAAAUUCGCUCGAAAUGUCUAAUAAAACUUUAGUGCCUCGUCGAUAUUACAGCACAGCUAUACACAUGAAUCGCCUUUCUUAUUUUUAAGCUAUCGAUUCGAUCUUAAUAACCGGAAAAAUUCCAACCACUUUGUGAAAAUGAUCACUUAAUGUUUCCAUUUGCAAGUUAAAUUUUUCUUUUCUUCCAUGUUCUAACCUCACUUCCUACCAUGUCAAAUGCCAAAUGUUUGCAAACCAAUGAGAAAUGUAUACAUCGUGUUAAAAAAAGUGACACACCGAAUACAUAUUGUUCGUUAAUUGAUGUAAUUCAUCGAAGUAUCACGCACGAUGGAUAAUUAGAGAAGCAUGUCCCGCGAAUUUCUUUGUCGCGCAAUAAAUACUGGUUCGCGCGCGCCGGCACGUCCCGCCAGGAAUACUCACGUGGCGCCAAUACGAGCUUCGCGAGCUUAAUUAUAGUCACUCGAUUAGAAUGCACCAGCGGGAGAACCGUAGUCGUUCGAGGUACAAGUGCAACGGUGCGCCUUUCCUUUUGUGUUCGUGCCACUCGCUUCAAUUCCAUCCGCGUGAUCUCUCGGUUUUUACGGACCGUAUCGAGAUGCGGCGGAGGAAAGAACGAUUCUGUAUCGAUCCAAAGGAAAAUAAACGACUGGUCUCUGUCGCGAGAAUCGAAGAAUUGAGUAAUAAAAGAAAUCGUUCGCCUUUCGAACAAGUUUCAUAUCAACAGAUCUCUGCACAAUAUUUUCCAAUCAUUCUGAAAUGAAUUUAAUCCUCGAACGAAGAAGGAAAUUUUAACGCUAUAAAUUAUCAACUCUUAAAAAUAACAAAACGAUUAAAUAUCCCGUCAUAACGUUUCAGAAUAAUUCUCAAUUAGAUAACGAAACAAAAAUUAUAAAAUCAUUCUUUACGUUACAUCCAGCUAUCGAUACGCAUCGUUCAUCGAAUUCUUUUCACGAAAAUUCUCCACCAUCCAGUUCCGGCAAUAUAAUUAUUCUCCUAACUCGGACGAUCCUAUUCUCCGCUCACUCCGCUUUAUUCCGCUCGAUUCUUUCUGACAUUUGGAGCUCCCCCGCUUUAUACACACCUUCGCACGCAGGUAUGCAGAGGUAUACCUCCUCCCACACCUUCUCCGAGCUGCAUGCCCUCCCCUUUCGUGUCGUACGUUUAAGUGAUCGAACCUUAACGGUCUGCCGGUGCCGCGGCCGGCUUUACCUAGAUUCUAAGCGUACGUACGAAGUGCGCUUCGAACACUGCGCGCGUCGAAAGAGAAGGAUGGGCAAGGAACGAUAAAGAGGGGAAGAGGAUACUACCGGCAAGAGGUCAACCUCUACGGAGACCUUCGACGCGCGUUCUUUUCGUCGGCAGGAUGUGCGCGCGCGCGGCUGAUAUCCUUUGACCUUAGCACCGCUUAAACGCAAGAAUUUCGAUUCGAUUUUGUCGCGCGCCGCUUCGCACCUUUUCCUUUCUUCCUUUUUUUCCGUCCUUUCUGAAAAUUCCACAAAAUAUUAUUACUAUUAUUUUUCUGUAUUAUCGAGAGUGAAUAUAGAAAUAUCCUUUGAUAAAAAAUAUAUCAUUUAGUUUUUCAAGUGCAAGAUAUUUCUAAAUUGUUAAAAAUUGUUAUAAUCGAUCAAGGUUAGGUUAGGUUUCACAUUCACCACAGUGAAUCGAUGGAAAUUGUUAAUGAUACGAGUGGAGCGUAAUUGUGUGGGUAAAAGUCGACGUGACGGUGUCUUGAUGUAUAAUUUAAAUUGUUUUUAGCAUUUCGUUUUUAUGCGCCAUGAACACUGUCAUGGAGAUUACUGUAAGAGGUCAAGUAUAGCGGAUGCUCGAGGAUUUUUCGCGGAGGGGAUGCGUGUACGGGGCAUGCAGGUGAUAUCCUUUGACCUUACCGGUACUGAACAGGCUCUAAUGCGGGCUCGAGUUUGGCUUCAAAACUCGUGUGUGGAUUUUAACGCGGCGUGUUUGCACAUUUUAAACCGCCGCUUUUUGUUUUCCACACUUUUCACAUAAUACAAUAAUACAAUCGUUUUUCUUUUUUUUUUUUCUUUCCAAGUUUUAAACAACGUGAAUUUUUUAAAAUUAAUCUUUCAGUUAAUCUGCCUCUAGCUGCUGCAAUGAUGACGACAAAUUAAUCAAAAUAUUGUGCGCGUUUAAAAUUGAUCUUUCGAAAGAUAGCGAAUCGUAAAACCAAUGAUCCUUGAAAUAGUGGCAUUGCUAUUACAACAAAUUAGUUUCGAGAUAAGGGAAACGUUUCAAUAUAUCGAACCUCGAUCAUACACCGAGUUCUCUUAUCUUAAACACACAUUACUUACUACUACCGGGUAAAGUAUUUUAUGAAAAUAGUUUCAAGUUUUCAAAAUCGAGCUCCACGUUUUUGAUCGACAUAAUCGAAGUUCGAAUGUUUGGUGGGAUAUGAAAAUGGAAUAAAAAUAAAACAGAAGAGGAAGAAUAUCCUAGACAUGGACGAUAAAACGAUGCAAAGGGAUACGAUGUAGCAAGUAGAAAAGCAGCGUGGAAAAAUCGAAAUGAGUCGUCUGGAGGGUAGAAAUAUUUUUCAUAUCGAAAAGGAAGGAAAUCAUCUGUCAUGUUUAAUAGGACACGAGAUAGUGGCUGUAGUGCAUAGAAGAUCGGCAACGAUGAAGCAGGAAUUACGAUGCGGCGGCGUUGCAUACGUUCGCCCACCUUGAAAACAGAGAAGAAAGAGAGAACACCGACGCAUCACGUGCAUUCAUCGGCUCCUACGAAUUAAUCCUAUUACAGCGGAAAGCCUCACCUUCGUCGGCCACAUCAUCAUCAUUGGCGUCGCCGUCAUCUGACAUCGUCAUCGUAUAUUCCCUCGUCGAUCCCACACCGCGUGCGAAGGCGAGCCUUUUACGUAAUGGACAGGAGGUUCCGUUUGUUUAUGUAAUCAGAUCCCCCAGAAACUCGCGGAGAACGGUUCGACAAUUUUGCAAUGAAUUCACCGCUCAUUUCCUGCUCUUUAUUCGACAGAUUAGAGAUAAGUUUUCGACGAAAUUCAGAAUAUAUUCAUUUUGUAAGGGAUAUUCUCUGAAUUUUCGAAAGAAAGGCAAAGGAAUAAUUGCGAUAAUUAAUUUAUAGAAACUUUUAUUCAGAAGAAGAUUAAAUUGUCUUUGCGUUCGAGAUUGCUCCCAGGCACAGUAUUUUAUUUCUGGUCGACGGUACUCGUGUCCUCGUAAAUAUCAAUUGCAGCGUUGGCAAAUCGCGCUUACCAUAAAGAGAACGCAUCCAGUCGAUGGUCGAGCGGGUUACAAUCACCGGUUGAAAAAAAAGGAAAAAGAAAGAAAAAUGAACGCCAUACGCGACUGUGCGAUUUACUCGAGAGAUUUGAUCUUCUCUCACCUUCGAUCAUUCAGGGACAAUCGAUAGUUUUCUUAAUCGCGUUCCACCGCCAUCAAAUAUCUAUUCUACGCUGCUUGUUCGGCCGCGCGGUCGCCGAUGCGUAAAGACACGUCCUUCGACGUUAAUAACAACGAUAAUGAUAUCACAAUCGCGAAAAUGCCGGGAGAGAACUGCGUGGCAUCGUUUUCUGCAAUUUUACACGACGCUUUUAUUCUAAUCUUAUGGAUUUUUCUGCGAAGAACGCGCUAAUUAAUGAACCGCCGACGGUGUCGCAUCCGUAAAAGAAUGCUGUGGGAAUGUUGGACAGGGUGGCCAACGUAGGAUCGAUAAAUGAGAUCAGAAAAUCACGUAUAACGGAUAUUCGUCCACAUUUCUUUGAGUUUUGAGGCAGUUUGUUAUUCGAAAAUAACAAAGUUCUAAGGUUCCCAUUUCGAGCGCAUCGUAUGCAAAGAGGUACAAAGUGUGAAUAAUGAAAAGUAUUUUCCAAAGCGACGUGUGUGUUCCCGUGAGCGUGCGGAUUGUUUCGUAUUUCUCGUCACGAGUCUGGCCGCGGGAAGAGACAAAAGAAAAAUGAAAAUGAAGGAAACGAAAGGAGCAAGUGGAACGAGACGAUUCACGACGGAUAAACGACAAAAGAACUGAUGUAUUGUAGACAAGAAGAUAAGGGUAAGGAAUAAUAAAAAGAAAUAGAAGAAUCUAAUGCCGUGCUGGUGUACGCAGAAGACAGGAACACGACAGGACAAAGAGUAAAAAGGAAGCUGGAAGCACGGAUACAAAGAGUGGUAGAUAUAAAUUAUCUACAGACUGUGUCCUCGUUUUUCACGAGGAAUUCAUUAUCUCGAAUCUAUAGAUUUAUAUUCUAAUUUGUGAAUAAUUUAUGAAAACGAAAUGUUAACACUGACGCUGCGUGACUAUGAAUUACUCGUACAAUUAUUUAUUUAUUCUUUCUUAUUUCUAUUUUUUUUUUUUGUUUUCAGAUAUUUCAUGUGUUAUAUAUUUCUACAAAAAUGGAGCAUAUUUUUAAUCCUCGAUGUGAAAAUUAUGCUAAAAAAUUAAUUACUGUCAAUUUAUAAAUACACGAUAAUUCGACGCGCGAGAAUUAUUUGAAAGAAUUAUGCACUGCUCCAUUAUCCACGCUAUCAAGAUCUAUGCUGUUGUACGGAAGAUGAAUUCCCUAUUCUAAAGGGUUAAUGUAUUCCGACCAUCACAAUGGCACAUAAACGUCACAUCAAACGGUCAGUGACAGGUCGGUAAGAACCGGCAGAGUCGCAAGGAACAAAGUAAUCCGGAGGUUGUCUGUUCGAAACAGAAGAAUUCACCUGACUGACUUCGUGACCCUUAAGUCAAGUCAUAGAGAGAGAGCAGACCCGGAUUUCCCAUUAGGCUAAUCAUCAAGCCAUGGGCGCACGAUCUUGAAACAUAUAUCUAAUCUUCGUGAAUAUACGAUUAAGGCAAAAUUGCCAACAUUUUGAAAUAAGCUCACGCUGCUGUUUCUAGAUACUCUCCUAUCUAUUUUUAGUAAACAGGCGACAUAUAUUUAAAUUUUGUGAUUAUCUUCCAUGAUGGACAGUAUUUAUGUUGGUAUUUGUAAUUCUUAAGCUUCUUUAAUUUUAGAAAUUUAUAUUCAAAGCCAAUUAUCUUAUACACGUAUCGUUCUAUUUAAUAUAUUCAAAAUUUCUAGUAACAGAUUAUCGUGAUGCAAAAAGGCGAGCAGGAAUAAUCGGAUCAGGAACAAAGACGAAUAAUCGUUUCUAAUAUAAUAAUAGCCGAUGCGUGCAUCGGCCUACGGCUACUUUUUUAUAUACCGUUCGGUCCAUCCUAACUUUGGAUUUAAACGCCGGAAGCAGGAGCAACGCGCUUAAUAGUUCGUUGAAAAAGGAGCCUAAGACUUCGAUGAAUCUCUCGUAGGUCAAGAUUCUAAUAAAUCUCCGCAAAUAAUCCCGAAUGAUUUGCCAUUUUACAAUCGUUUCGCGAAAUUGAAUAUUUUAAUAGUUUCUAUUUAUGGACGAAUUUUUCUAGGCGAUAGUAACUCCCUCUACAUACUUUUAAUCCUUGACACUUUAACAAGAAACAAUAUAUCAAACGUUAUUUAUUACCUACGAUAAAUAUUCCUUACGUAAGAACUGCCGUAAAUUAAGAUCUUCUGAACAAUUUGUUAUUAAUCUGUUAUUAAUAAUAAACAAAACGAAAUAGAGGAAAUAAUUCUAAAGCUAUGGAGAGUAUCGAAAUGAUAUCGUCUCGAGCGAUGUUAACCUCGUUUUUGAAAAGUUUAUUUGGAAAUCGAAGAAACGCUUCUACAGGUUAGGAUGACGUGGUCAUGGGUUAGCCGGAGGUUAUUUCGAAGCUCAUCGACUCGCUAUUGGCAAAUCGCGACUUGGAUGAGCCAACGGCGGCGGCUUCGUGUCCUCUGGCAAGGAAAAGAAACCGAUAUUGAUGAAGGAAGAGAGGAGAACAACUUUCACGCGACCACGAGGCUUCUUCGUAUCGGAAUGCAUCCGUGCCCCGUGUGUCUCCCCGAGGGAAAGAAGAUCCCUUAGCCGUUUUAAUUGCAAAUUUCUCUUGCCUGAUCUUCUUGCAAAUUAUUCAACGGAACUAACCAUUACCAUUAAGGGCUCCUGUGAUCAACACUGAAUUUCUAACCAAGAUCAUCUAUUCUUUGAAAGUAUAAUAGUAGAUAUGGAUUGUACACUCGAAUGAAAAAGAGGUUAUGUUAAAGAGAUCUUUGUUGCAAAAGCCGACUCUUGAACGAGAUGUAAUGAACUUCAAUUAUGACGCUGCCGCGUUUCCAUGGGACUGAGACCGCGCAAUAAGCUUUGAAAGUAACUAGUAAAGAAGCCAAGUGAUUCAGUCGUUGAUAUUGUGCGCGGAGAUGCAGAAAACUUUAUGAUGCAAGAACAAAAGUAUGCCUGGAAUUUUACGAUUCUUGCGUUCAAUUCUUAACGCAAGAAUUUUUAUAAUUAUUUAUGCGAAAUAAUCAAUAUGAAAUCAACGUUAAAAAUAUUUUUCUUCAUUGAACAUUAAUCAUCAUAUUGCUAUAUAGUCACAUAUAAUAUCAUAUCAUUACAUAUAACGUAUAGUGAUCAUCUAUUAAAAAACAUUUAUACUUAAGUUUUUAUUUAAAAAUAUUUUAUAUUUAAAAAAAAUAUUAUUCUAUUUUCAUCACUUUUUCCACAUUUCAAUUUAUAGAUAUUAUACAAAUAUUCUGAAGAAAGAUUAAUCAUUUAAAAUUUCACAAAAAAAUAGCAUGUAAGUAAUGAAAGAUUAAUUAUCACAUUCCACUGUUCACUUAAGAAAUGUUAUUUAUUUUUAUUUCUAUGUUCAUUUUUUAGAUCAUAAAAUAUAAUAAAACGUAUAAGAACGAUUAACUUAAUUAUUCUCCAAUUAUAUUUUGUAAGUAAUCAGUAGAGAGAAGAUAAUUGUGAUAAUUAUUCGACGUUAAAUUGAAUCGACAAGUUCAUGGUCAGCUUCAGUGCCAUGAGCUCGAGAAAAGAGAAACAGGUACCGAAAACGGUACCGGACACGCACGGUGUAUACGGCAGGUGGAUGACGCAAGCGGGAUGACUUUACUCGUGGUUAUCCCUUCCCAAAACUAAAAUUUCUUUCUCCCAGAGGGACUUUACAGCUGACAUCUCGCAUCUUUCUAUCUUCCAACUCCCUCAUUCGCCAGUCUCUGAUGUCAGCUUUCAAUAGACAGAUAUACAUGUUGUACAACCGUACACUUUUAUACACAAAUUAUUUUGCGUUUCAAUAUAUUUAAAUUAAGAUCAUAUUACUUACUUAUAUUGGCAAUUAGUCGUGAUUAGAUUACAUUUUUACAAUUAAUCGAUUUUACACUUUAUUCUAUUGUCGUGAGUAUAUCUUCAAAAUAUUAAUAUUUUAAUUAUUGAAAACCUAUUAAUAAGCUUUCUUUUGUCACGAAUAUCGUAUCUUUUAAUUUUUUUCUUUUUGUUAAUAGGCUGAUACAACUAAUCCUAAAUAAUUCAAGAUAACUGAAAAAAAUGUGAAAGCUGGAAAUCUAUUAAUAGAUUUUUCUAAGUCGAUUAACAUCUAUGGCGACACACUGAUCGAAUAUCGCGCACUAUGUCUCACAGAAUUUAUUGUUUCGCUAUCGAGCCGUCCACGAUCUACUUUGAUAAUUACGUACCGUGUAAAACGAUAUUAAAGGGAUAGCGUUUCACGAGCGUAGCAGGUGAUAAGUAGGUUGCUACCCCAUGAAUUUAUGCGAACUUCGUGAGCCACGUUCUUACUCGUUAUUAAUCGCGUGUACGUGUAUUGCGCUUGGUGAAUGAUCGAUCUGUCGGCCGAUCAUUGAUCACCAUAACCCAUCCGUUCGAUGAUACGAUUCGAGAAAUCAGGCCUCGUUCCGGUUUCUUUCAAUGUUCCCGCGGUAUCUGUUAUCGAUCACCUUGGCCAAUUACGUACAUCGGCACAAUUUCUCCGAUAAUGAUAGAUGUUGAUUUUCAAUAAGUGCAAAAAACUUGAAAAAUGCAAAAUAAAAUAGAAAAAAACUAUACAUAAUUACUGACGAUAACACGCGUGCAAAAGAAAAAGUCGAAUACGUGAAAUAAUUCUUUUCGACUUUUCACGUGUUCUCUUGCAAAUAUGGCCGUACACGUCGACCAACCAUACAGCUAGAAAAUCCCUAUGACCCAUAUGUUGCUAUUCACUUAGAAUCAAAUUUGUUUCUCGACCACCCGGUAUAUAGAUAUGAUUAACCUUUCAGCGCCGUUAGCUCGUUCGGGUUGUGUAUUCGCUUCGAUCAAUGGUGCCACCGAGCGCAACACACGAAUCGCAGAAACGAACAUGGAAAAAUCACGGCGAUUAUUCCGAGGAUUAUGUUAGGUCGUUGACUCUGCGAGCUCUUCCGGUAAAUAUCCUUCCUGAUAGUGCCUGUGUGUAAUCGAUAGAAUAAUUCGACUGUGUGCUUCUCACGAUGGUAAAAUAUUCAUUCCCAUAGCAAUAAAAUGUCCGCGCGUAAUAAGAAAUAACAAUUUAAGGGACGAGUUUUGUGAAAGGGUUAGCUGCGAGCAGAUCGUUUUCAACAAGCUUUUCAAACCAGUAUUCAUUGGUUUUUUACUAUUUGGGAUACGAAUAAGAUACGUAAUCGCCUAUAUAGGAGUCGAUUAUCUAUAAACGUAAGAAAGUAAUUUCGCAAUGCAAUUAGAGUUGGAAAUAAUUAUGCGAGAAUUCAAAAUUGAAAUUGAACGUGUAACAGUUGAAUGAUAAUCGGAAAUAAGAAUUUAAAGCAAGUAAAAUAAAAGAAAAGUGAAAAAAAAGAGGAAUAUCAAUCAACUUUAUGCAUUCUACGCAUAACCUCUACGAAAAUUAAUAAACAAUAUUUUACCACGAAGAGAAUAUCACGUAUAUAUACGAUACCAAACAUUUAUAUAUAUAUUAGCCGAAUAGUUAACAGUGUUCUUCUCCUUACUAUGAAACUGAAAAUUGCUUUUCAGCUUCUCUCUUCUUCCUUACAUUAGAUUUCAAACACGCUUCUUACGUAUCCUUCCAUCGUAAUAUCUACAAUCUGCGCGCAUUAAAAUGAUCUACAGGGAUCGUAGAACCAUGCCUUACCGUUAUUUCAACUUCAACCGAAAUGUGUCACAGACCCUUAUCCCCAUUCAAUUACGUUAAUCCCGAUGCGCACUGUACAAAUAUUUAUCGCACAGUGUAUUAAAUCCACAAUGGAAUCGUUAUCCUUAAACCCAUCACGGGCUAAAACAAGAUAAAUCGUGCGAUUUAUUUCAACGGGGGAUCAAGGGGUCAGCGUGUAUCACAGCCUCGAAACUCGAAGCUCGCGUAGGUGCAUCGUGCAAAGCGCCAAGCACAGAUAUUUCAAUAGCGCAACCAGCGCAAACGAAUAUACACGGUCGUGUUGCCCACAGGCUUCGUUGCGGCACAGAAACCUUUCUCUCUCGUCUCCUCGAACGCAUCUACGUGCUACGGUAUCCACGUGCAUAUGUAUAUGCGAUCAAGUGCGAUUAAUCGAUGCACGUAAUGACGCGUUUAAACGAUCGACGAGACGCGUAGGAUAAUCGAUCCGACGCCUUGUUCGCUUCCUCAAAAAUGAUGAUGGUAUCCUCUUACGCGAAUUGAUAAAUUAUGAUAAUUUUGAUAAGAGUGAAAAUGUGCUGAUCCAACAAGUCUUUCUUCUUUGGAAGUCAAGAUAUAAUUGGAAACUUGGUUCAUUUAAAAAGUGAUGUGAUUUAUUUUGCGUGAUAUCUAAGAAGAAAAAAUUUUGAAAAAUAGUAAAAUUCUGGCAAGAUAUUUGUCGCUUUCUGGUAGUCCAUGGAUAUGCGAAUAGAUAUGCGAAAAGAUAUACUUAUUGUUGAAGAAUGUUCAUAAAACUGCGACCCAGUAAAACUAAUAAAUCUGUGAAUACGCUUAAUUAAUGCGCCACGGCGGAAUAACGCGGCUAAAUGAUCAACGAUGCGCGGAGUUAAUGACGCUAAUGAGACAGUUUUAGCCGUAUAAUCUAAUUUCAUAGAAUCAUACGUGUCAAGAGUAAAACUUUUGAGAGUUUUGGAAAGCGAAGGAAAGCAAGUUGUCAAGAAAUGUUAAUUGAACACCAAGUUUUUAAAGUAUACUUUCAAUUUCACCGAGUUUGUUUUAACGUUGACAGUGGCACGCAUCGCAAUUGCGUUGAUGAUGGUAAUGCUUCGAGAAGGAAGACACGCGACGCGGAGGAAACGAGGAAACGUCUCUGGUGAAAGCUUUUUAGACGAAGGAACAAAGAGACGAGGCAAUAAUGGGCGAAAUGCCGCAGCGUUCACCGCACCGUACGAUUCUGAUCUGCAUCUGCCCGGUUAUUACCCCUAAAUUACGCAUUGCCGGAGAAAUUUCAUACGUUGUGGCAAGUUAAUGUCAUUAUUCCGAAGUACAAACCCUUCUCACGGAAAAAUACCAAUGAUAAUGUGAUUGUAAAAGACCCCAAACAGGUUAUGUUCGAUUAAAAUCUGACGGAUUGAUUUUUUUUCAAAGUUAUAGAAUCAAUAGAAUUAUUGAUCGAAUAUACGAGAAAUAUAAUGUAAUAAAGAAAAGAUUCUGUCUAAAAUAAAUUUUUAAAUAUAAUUUUUAAUAUCGAUACGAGCGCGUUAAAAAUCAACAA
Long non-coding RNA from Apis cerana (Asiatic honeybee), 10604 nucleotides. RefSeq lists it as uncharacterized. The record is from RefSeq and is a predicted model, not a curated record. Lineage: Eukaryota; Metazoa; Arthropoda; Insecta; Hymenoptera; Apidae.